GCAUCUUCGGCAGUCACCCUGAGUAUACUCCGAUGCAGAGGCGUAUCCUCCGUGACGGUAGCCUUGUAUUCGGUCGGAUAGAA
RNAcentral lists this microRNA precursor (83 nucleotides) under Polistes canadensis. RNAcentral's name for it is "microRNA pca-mir-3736 precursor". Lineage: Eukaryota; Metazoa; Arthropoda; Insecta; Hymenoptera; Vespidae. The record is from miRBase by way of RNAcentral.